AGUUUCCCGGUUCCUCCAAAUUUCUGGGCUCCUACUUGUUUCCACAGAGAUGGAUACUGUGGAGGUCCAGGAAGCAGAGAGAUGGCUAAGGCUCAUCAGGACCGUAUGAUCUCCCAAGUGUCCAGCUACUGAGUACCACAAGGUGAUGGGUGGGAGGGUCCUCCCACGGAAGGAUACCGCAGUCCCUAGGGGUUGCAAGCCCCACAUGUUCCACUGGCUGCUAGAGCUACCUACUCAAUCAGCCCUGGGCAUCACCAUCAGGUACUCGGCCAAAAUGACCUCUCUGCUUCCAGUCCUCAGUUCUGGUCAGCACCAGACAGGCCCAUAAUUACAGAGCCAGGGAAACUGGAACAUUUGUCUCCCCUUAGACAGUGGCAGCAGGAAGGUGGGGGGUUGUUGCAGAGGAACAGUGUCUCUGAGAGAGGACCUUGGACUUUCUGGGAAUCUCUGAGCUGCCCGGUUCUCCCCACUGCUGGCACUGUGCCCACAGCCCAAACAGAAUGGGGGAGAUGGAGGGGCAGGGCUUCUGUGGGAAGCUGCCCUCCACCUCAUUGGCACAGAGUGUCUCAUUGCAGAGAGAAAAAAGGACCAGUUUUCUCUCUGGCACCCAGGUCUGGAAGAGGAGUGACAUCCACGGAAGUUGGUGACUUGGACUGGCUGGCCGUGAGUGGAACAUGUCCAUCCAGCAUGGCCACAGUCCAGUGGGACACACAGCCUAGAGCUGUGGAAUGCCGUGCCACAGACUAGGGAACUCCUAAUGCUGUUUCGAUGUUGUCUGGCUAGUUUUGUGUCAACUUGACACAGCUGGAGUUAUCACAGAGAAAGGAGCUUCAGUUGAGGAAAUGCCUCCAUGAGAUCCAGCUGUAAGGCAUUUUCUCAAUUAGUGAUCAAGGGGGGAGGUCCCCUUGUGGAUGGGACCACCUCUGGGCUGGUAGUCUUCGGUUCUAUAAGAAAACAAGCCAGGGGAAGGAAGCCAGUAAAGAUCAUCUCUCCAUGCUCUCUGCAUCAGCUCCUGCUUUCUGACCUGCUUGAGUUCCAGUCCUGACUUCCUUGGUGAUGAACAGCAGUAUGGAAGUGGUUUGGCAUCUUGGGAAUUUUCUGUAAGUCAUCUUCCUUUUUUUAAUUAAAAGAAUUAGUCAUAUUUA
Mus musculus (house mouse) is the source of this 1145-nucleotide long non-coding RNA. RefSeq annotates it as predicted gene, 46732. NCBI's taxonomy places the organism in Eukaryota, Metazoa, Chordata, Mammalia, Rodentia, Muridae. The record is from RefSeq and is marked validated. The transcript has 2 exons.